AGUGAACGCUGGCGGUAGGCCUAACACAUGCAAGUCGAACGGCAGCACAGUAAGCGCUUGCUCUUACGGGUGGCGAGUGGCGGACGGGUGAGGAAUACAUCGGAAUCUACUUUUUCGUGGGGGAUAACGUAGGGAAACUUACGCUAAUACCGCAUACGACCUACGGGUGAAAGCAGGGGAUCUUCGCACCUUGCGCGAUUGAUUGAGCCGAUGUCGGAUUAGCUAGUUGGCGGGGUAAAGGCCCACCAAGGCGACGAUCCGUAGCUGGUCUGAGAGGAUGAUCAGCCACACUGGAACUGAGACACGGUCCAGACUCCUACGGGAGGCAGCAGUAGGGAAUAUUGGACAAUGGGCGCAAGCCUGAUCCAGCCAUACCGCGUGGGUGAAGAAGGCCUUCGGGUUGUAAAGCCCUUUUGUUGGGAAAGAAAAGCAGCAGGUGAAUACCCCGCUGUUCUGACGGUACCCAAAGAAUAAGCACCGGCUAACUUCGUG
This 492-nucleotide ribosomal RNA is filed under the name uncultured bacterium. Its description in RNAcentral is "partial 16S ribosomal RNA". It matches the Rfam family "Bacterial small subunit ribosomal RNA", at positions 29 to 507 of the family's 1533-position model. The record is from RNAcentral.